UAUAUAAUCUUCUCUGCGAUCUCUUCUCUAUAAAUAUCCGUGUCUUCUCCAACUCAUAACCUCAUAAGAGGAAACAAAAAGAAUGGUUUGGGAGGUCGCUAUUAUUUGUGGUUUUGUAUUGUGCUUAGUUUCGUGCUUCUGUCUAAUGCUCGACCCCCUCUUUUCUUCUCUCAUCAUGAUAAAUCACAGAUGAAUGUGGUAGGAAGGUCCUUGAAAAUUAGCCUCGACGACUACGGAGAAACAAGGGCAAAUCCUGGACAUGAUCCUUCAAGAUUCACACCUACGACUGCUAAACGUCGAGGCAGAAAAGGUUUAUGAGUCUAUAUAUUAAUUGGAUCUAGAUUUUGUCAAGUGAAAAAAUCUGUAUAACUGCUUUUGUUAAAUAUGAGAGAUAGAAACAAGAGAUUAGGAAGAGGAUGAAAUUAGAGAAUGUGAAUCUCAUGCAUAUUCUCACACUUAUCGUCGUCUCUGUGUGUGUGUGUUUAAAAAACAGCUAUUAAUUAUAUUCCAGAUUAUCAA
Molecule: long non-coding RNA, 519 nt
Organism: Prosopis cineraria
Lineage: Eukaryota; Viridiplantae; Streptophyta; Magnoliopsida; Fabales; Fabaceae
Exons: 2
Source: RefSeq, a predicted model, not a curated record